ACUUCUAGUGUUGACUGGCAGGUAAGUUAACUGGAAGUUGGGAAGCUGACGUGGCUGUGCCAGGGUCUCCAAGGCCCCAGGGUGGGAGCAGGCUGGCAUACAGCAUCCUCAGGCUAGCUGGGGGGUCUAGUGCCAAGGCAGUGGGGGAAGUGUCAUGCUCGAGUUGCACUGGGGGUGCCAAACCCAUGGGCAAGAGCCCCCCAGACCACACACAGGGCAUUGUAACAGGCAUCAAGGGUCAUCCCAGCCAUCCCCUGCACAGCUGCAAGAGAAAGAGGCACCCCCCUGAAUUCCCAGGUGGCCUCCCAUCCAAGCAGUAGCCAGGCCAGGCCAGGCGCUGCCAGCUUCUGCAUCCAGAGCAGGGCAGGUGCAUUCAACCACUGGCCAGGUCACUGGCCUCCUUGUGGGCAUUCCACGUGACACUGUGGCUCCCGUAACCAGGCGUGCAGGUGAAUUCUCUGGGGGACCCGACUGCAUUAGGAUGCUCAGGGUGGUGCCCAACAGUGCCAUGGCUCCCUGGUGCUGAGCCAGAGUGGGCAAGAGCAUUAACGCUUGUUCUCCUCCCUUUCAGGCAAAGGGCAGGAUCGUGGUGGUGCCAGGUGGCGGGAUAACGGAGCGAAACCUGCAGCGGAUCCUCGAGGGCUCCAGCACCUCCGAGUUCCACUGCUCGGCACGCUCAGCCCGUGACUCAGGGAUGAAGUUCAGAAACCCUCACGUUGCCAUGGGAGCUUCCCUCUCUGCCUCAGAGUACUCGGUCAAGGUGGCCGACGUGGCGAAAGUGCGGACCCUGAACGCCAUCGCAAAGAACAUCCUGUAGCGGGACAGAAACGUGCAGACCCUGGGUCCCCCCUGUCAGCGCAGGCAAAGGGACUUCAGCUCCCGCAUCCCUGGGGCGGGGAAGGGCAUGGAUCACACGCAGAAACCUGCCACCUCUUCCGUGGUCUCUUUUGUGGCUUCGUGUGGAUGCCCACUCCCGGGGCUGGAGGCCACUACUGGUCUUUUUGAUUGUGGACCCUUUCCUGGCUGCAGCACUGGCACCAACUGUCCGGCAGCCAUGGGGCAGAGGGGAGGGUUAGCUAAUGGGGCGGUGAAUUGUGCGACAGUGCUAUGAUGUCAAAUAAACACCCCACAGCCAGCCCGUGUCACUGUGGCUCUUCCUUGCCAGGAGGGCUGGCAGCCCAGUACAAGCAGUGUCUGCUCUCCCGAGUUGUGUGACGUGGGCCCAAGCCCACGUGGCGCUUCCCGGCCUGCAACACAGCGGCUGGAGAAGUCACGUCCCCUCUGGGGUCCGCGGCACCAGGCAGGCAGCAGAGCAGGCCUCGGAGUCCUAGCGCCACAACGCGGAGACCUGUGCAGCACAGGACGGGCCCCUGCCCUGCUCUGGGGAUCUCUCUGGACACAAGCCAGUGAACCUCCAACCUCGAGCCGCGUUCAUCUGCUCCGAUAGCCUCGCCAUCACC
This is a long non-coding RNA of Alligator sinensis (Chinese alligator), 1460 nucleotides long. RefSeq lists it as uncharacterized. The record is from RefSeq and is a predicted model, not a curated record. The transcript is spliced from 3 exons. NCBI's taxonomy places the organism in Eukaryota, Metazoa, Chordata, Crocodylia, Alligatoridae.